Molecule: transfer RNA, 85 nt
Filed under: Sulfolobus sp.
Lineage: Archaea; Thermoproteati; Thermoproteota; Thermoprotei; Sulfolobales; Sulfolobaceae
Also listed under: 2 other names
Description: tRNA-Ser
Rfam family: tRNA
About the family: Transfer RNA (tRNA) molecules are approximately 80 nucleotides in length. Their secondary structure includes four short double-helical elements and three loops (D, anti-codon, and T loops).
Source: RNAcentral
GCCGGGGUCGCCUAGCUUGGUAGGGCGGCGGCCUGCUAAGCCGCUGGGGUUCGUCCCCGCGCGGGUUCAAGUCCCGCCCCCGGCG